Long non-coding RNA from Sycon ciliatum, 1389 nucleotides. RefSeq lists it as uncharacterized. NCBI's taxonomy places the organism in Eukaryota, Metazoa, Porifera, Calcarea, Leucosolenida, Sycettidae. The transcript is spliced from 4 exons. The record is from RefSeq and is a predicted model, not a curated record.
UAUUUGCAACCGCGGGAAAAAUCGAGGUGCAAAAAGAUGACGACGACACAAUUGUUUUGUUGGUAUUUUGCAACCUUAUUUGGACCUGAACUGGCGUGUGCUGGAGGAAUCCUUGUUCAUUACUUGGUUUGCUGCUGAGGUAUGUCCCUUUGUCACCUAUGGCACUUUAGCUGAGGUUCGUUGCGCCCAACUGUAGACCAUGAAGACCUGUGUUUGCACUACAUAUUUUUUCGUCGUAAUCGUACCAUCAACUUGCUUGUCGUGCUGGAGUGGAUAGCAUAAUCGGACACUCUCGGCUUAUGCUCUAAGCCAAAGGUAGAUAUAUUUGGGUUUGGAUUCCCAAAGCACAUCCCAAUCAGGCUAUGCAAAAUGGAGCGGCCCACAAUUUCGUGGAGGUAUGUCGAAUUGUGUGGAAUUUUGCACUAAAGUAAUUGUGCUUGAACAAGGACGUUUUGGCUGCUUAUUUUCCUUGGGCAUCUCGACAUUGCAAACUAGUCCCCUUGCUGUUGUGUCUUCGACAUCUAAACGGAAUUUCUAUAUGGUCUUGUGCGCUCGUCAUCAACAGCACUACACUACUGUAGGUCCAGUGGGCCAAUCAGGCUGAACGGCAUCAUCCAGCUGUAACUGGGGUGUAGGAGUCGACACCUGCUGUUGCGCCGACUCGAGCUAGUACUCGCAUGACCUCGCUAUGUGCAUCCACAAAGGCCGAAAGAACAAGCUGGAAAGGGGUCUGGGAUCGUGCUACGGCGAGGGAAUUGUAUAAGCACAGAAUGUCACACCCUGUACGGUACAGGAGCGUACCUCGUUUCUUACUGGUACCAUAUGACCCAUGGCUGAGAUGAGCGCCAAGCUUCGAAAUAAGGCUGGACAGUAGCCACCGGUUGUUGCAGUCGAUGGAUGGUGAAGAAGAGGUGAAGAAAUCAGCAGCCGUUGCCAGAAGAAGAGAACGGUUCUCGAGGAAUGCAAGACAGACGAAUCUUGCUGUUGCCAGCAAUGCGGACUCCUCGGGUGAGGUGCAUUGGUGCAUUUCGUCUGUUAUACUCUGCACCAGGCUCUCCAGCUUGAAGUCAGUAGUCUGACUGUCCACCAUAUCCAGUUGGCCUUUAUAACAGGCUAGGCAAAAGGCACUAUCCGCGGUGACCGUAAGACCACGCUCAGCGUGCAGCUGACGCUGAACUGCUCCGACGUUCGGACACUUACGCUUAACACCCCUUAUUUGUGCGCCACACAUGGUGCAUGUGGGCCUGUUGCUGUCAUGUAGCUGCAUGUUAUGCCGGUUGCAGAGACCCGCUGGCUGAUCGUUUGCGUUUACUUUCACGUUAAGCUUCUCGGCCAGCUCUACUGCUUGUAAUGAAACUGUGACAUGCCGUGGCAAAUCACAACCAUCUA